UUUAUCCUGGCUUCUCAGUUCUCUAGAUGGUGUUAUCCAGAAUGAGUUGGCUACAAGGAACCUACAUUAUAUCAAUGGUGUUCGUCUGAUCAAUUGCAGGCAUCAGGUCCCUGCAUUUGUAUUGCAAGUACCUGAAACCUGUAGGUUUUCUUGUGAGAGUGAUGGUAAUCAGUUGCAAAUUGUUUAGCUGAUGUUUGUGAUUGAUUAUGCCAAUUAAGGACUCUUGUUGUGCAUUUUAUGUACUGUUGGCGAGCUUGCAAGCAUCUGAAGUUAGGCACCAGGUCUGAAGUUUGGCUACUUUAAAGUUAAUUUGUUGCUCUUGUAUCGGAUAUUUCUUUUACACUAUGACGCAGCAAGGCCUGACCAUGCGCUAUACUGUUGAGACUUGAGAGAGGCCUUAUUAUUUCUUGUUAUCAUGGCUUAAUGUUUGCAACAUUGCGUUCAUUUGUUCCGUCACUUGUUUAUCAAUCGUGUGGUACUAUCAUAUGCACAUGCCAAUUCUUUUGAUUCUGUGAAUUAAGUAUCACUGAAUACCAUUUGCAACUCCUUAUUGAGUUUGUGCACCUUAACUCGAAUGUGCAUGAGAGAUGAGACCGAAUCAUGUGUUAAUUAUAUAGACAAUUUAUUAAUUCUGAUGCUCAUUCUAGGAGGUUGAUUCGUCAUGGUCCUUUGCAUUAGUUUGGUUCCUUUAAAGGAAGAAAUGUUUUGGUUUCUUUCCAACAGUUUGUUAUGGUGAGAAGGAUUCCAGAACCGAACAAGCUGCUGAAAGAUAUCUUUUGUUUGACCAAUUGAUUCUUUACCUGAAAGUUGCAGCCAGGUAACCACUGUUUCACUAUAUUCUUUUUGUCAUCUUUUUUGUAGUUGUUCUUUCAGACAAAUAGGAUUAACAAAUGCUUGGCCAUGCUCAAAACCGUUGAUUCAAAUGUUCUGGGCAGUAAUGCUGCUCCUGUUGUUUCAUUCACAAGAUCUUAUAGUCCUGACUCAGAUGAAAAUGAAUUGAAUUUUUGUUUCUUAACUUUUGUUGUGUUACAACAUCUGUUUCAGGAAAACAGGGUUUAGAAUCAUUGUAAGAACAACCUAGAUCUGGUACGUGCAUAUGCUCCCUUUUUAUAAUAAACACAGAAGAAUUAGCAGUAGCAGUUACUUACUUACUGGUUAUGGUUUGGUUUGAAUUGAUUUUUACAUGUGCUUCUUACAACACCAGCUGGGAGGAUAACUGAAAUCAGAAAAGCUUCAGAAGGUUUUGUUUACCUUAUACAUAAUUCAUUAUUAACAGAAUUUUGUCAUGAAUGGAAGUUACUUCUGACGCAUAGAAUUUACACUGGGUUAUUGAGAUAUUUAUUGUAGAGUCAAUCUACAGUGCCAGGUUUAUGAAUUGAGAUAAUAACUCCUAUGCAAAACAUCUUGUGUCUUCUUGAUACUUCUCUUUCUGAAAACACUACACAUAUUUCUGUUAAUUUAUCAUUUCAUUUGCUUCUGUCAUGCACCUUGGCAUUUUCAUGUUCUUUAUACAAAAUUUCCCAUGCAGAUUCUGAAGGCUAGAGAAGUCAAGCUUUAGCAUUCUUGAAAUUAUGCUGAUUGUUUCUAGGGAACUCUACUGACAGGUAAUGCAUGCAUGGACAUUUUUAUUACUAAUGUCUGGACAUGGUACUCUGCCCAUUAAUGAUGUCUUAUAUUUGCCUUUCAUUCUUAGUUCUGACUGAACUCUUGUUGACUCUUAAUUGUUUGCCAGAUUUGCUAGACAAAUAAGAAUAUUAUACACCCUCUAUCUAAAAUUUUGUCCAUUGCAUGCAUGAACAUUUUUAUUACUAAUGUCUGGACAUGGUACUCUGCCCAUUAAUGAUGUCUUAUAUUUACCUUUCAUUCUUAGUCCUGACUGAACUCUUGUUGACUCUUAAGCGUUUGCCAGAUUUGCUGGACAAAUAAGAAUAUUGUACACCCUCUAUCUAAAAUUUUGUCCAUUGCAUGCAUGAACAUUUUUAUUACUAAUGUCUGGACAUGGUACUCUGCCCAUUAAUGAUGUCUUAUAUUUGCCUUUCAUUUUUUUAGUCCUGACUGAACGCUUGUUGACUCUUAAGCAUUUGCCAGAUUUGCUGGACAAAUAAGAAUAUUUGUACACACUCUAUCUAAAAUUUUGUCCACUGAGAGGAAUAUUAUUAAUAUAAUACUAUUUAUCUGUCUAUUGGCAUCUCAUGCCAGAAAACUGAACAACGGCGAAAUAAGAUAUAUAAAUUUCAGACAGUAGAUGUAUUUGAUUGGCCACUUGAUUUUUAUUUCAGACCUGAGUUAGUGCUUCAAAAUAUGAAAUUGUAGAGGUUAUGUGAACUUUUUUCUUUAACUAUCCAAAUGGCAACUGAAAUUUUUAUUUCUUCAAUGAACUAUCAUGUGAUGGUAGGUCCCAUGCAGCAGCAUCUUUGUUGUGCUACUGGUUUCACGGUGAUAUAAAUGACAUUGAGUUUUUUAUUCACAGACACUAACUCUAAGUAUGUCCAGAUUUUCCUUCAAACUGGUUAUCUGUAUUUAUUGAUUUGAAUGAUAUGUGGUCUCCCUUGUUGGGUCUUAUCUUGUUGUUCCUCUUCGACAUUAUGUCAUUAUUAUCUACGAGGGCAAUCAACUAUAAUUUGUAUAUAUCAUCAAUUUUUGUAUGUCUUAAUGUCAAAAAAAAAUCAAGCGAGAUGUUUUCCUCGGAAAAAUAUAUCAAGUUGGACGUCGGCAAUCAAUUAGAAUUUGUAUGUGUCAUCAAUUUUUGGAUGCCUCUUUAAUGAAUCAAGCUUUACGUUGGUAACUAAAGUAGAAAUUUGUAUAUAUCAUCACUUUUUUAUGUCGUUUUUAAUUAAUCAAUUCAUCAUUGGGUUAGUCAUUAAAUUUUUUUCCUUUUGCUAUGCACACUGAUAUAUGUAUGUUCCAG
RNAcentral lists this long non-coding RNA (2908 nucleotides) under Brachypodium distachyon (stiff brome). Its description in RNAcentral is "long non-coding RNA (BDIS_LNC003723)". Lineage: Eukaryota; Viridiplantae; Streptophyta; Magnoliopsida; Poales; Poaceae. The record is from RNAcentral.